GCGACUCUAACCAUGUGCAGAGUCCACGUUCACAGUGGGCGACGUCACCUACCUGCUGGGAUCCACCUCCGUGGGGACCAGCAGCCAGAUGUACCUCUGUUACAUUUGGUCUACAGAUUAGGCGGUGGCGGUCAGCAGCCAAUCUUUUGAUGGGCGUGUGCUGAUCAAGAUAUAAUCGGUCGCUAUUGUCGGUGUAAAUAGUUGAGAAACGUUCCGUAGGUGAACCUGCGGAAGGAUCAUUAUCGAGUUAGGGUCCUUUGGGCCCCAUCUCCCACCCUUGUCUAUAUUACCAUGUUGCUUUGGCAGGCCCGUCUUUAAACGGACCACCGAGGGCUUGUCCUCGGUCCGCGCCUGCCAGUAGCCCUUUUAUAAUAUCUCUUUGAACAGUGAUGUCUAAGCACAAAUAAAAUAAUUAAAACUUUCAACAACGGAUCUCUUGGUUCUGGCAUCGAUGAAGAACGCAGCGAAAUGCGAUAAGUAAUGCGAAUUGCAGAAUUCCGUGAGUCAUCGAAUCUUUGAACGCACAUUGCGCCCUUUGGUAUUCCGAAGGGCAUGCCUGUUCGAGCGUCAUUAUCAAUCCUCAAGCCUAGCUUGCUGUUGGGUCCCACCGUCGGCGACGAUGGUGGACCUUAAAGACAAUGGCGGAGUCCGUGGACCCUGGAUGCAGCGAGCUCUUCAGCACGCGUCUCGGUAGUCCCCGGGCCCUGUCUUAACCAAUUUAUUUACUAGAUUGACCUCGGAUCAGGUAGGGAUACCCGCUGAACUUAAGCA
This 771-nucleotide ribosomal RNA is filed under the name Verrucaria dolosa. RNAcentral's name for it is "eukaryotic LSU rRNA". The stretch from base 417 to 570 matches the Rfam family "5.8S ribosomal RNA". Lineage: Eukaryota; Fungi; Ascomycota; Eurotiomycetes; Verrucariales; Verrucariaceae. The record is from RNAcentral.